Molecule: long non-coding RNA, 157 nt
Organism: Octopus sinensis (East Asian common octopus)
Lineage: Eukaryota; Metazoa; Mollusca; Cephalopoda; Octopoda; Octopodidae
Exons: 4
Source: RefSeq, a predicted model, not a curated record
UUCCGAUGCAUGUAGCAAUAUAAUAGAAUCAGCUUACGCGGCCGGCCUCGCAUCGAAAGGGAAUCGGGUUAAUAUUCCCGAACCCGAACUCGGAGAGUGCCCGUCCGUCGGCGGGAACGCGGCGUGCUCUUCCUAGCAGCGCCGCGUUCGACGUCGG